GCAGUCGGACGGUCUGUCGCUGGCGGCCUCUUGGAGGCUGAAAGAGGAAAGUCCGGGCAACACAGGGCAUCCCACUUCCUAAUGUAGAAGCAGUCCGCGAGGGUUGAGUAAUGCAGAAGAAAACAACAACAGCCCACCAUCUUGGUCAUGGUGUCAGCCUUGCCACAAUGAGGCAUGGAGCGAUUUUCGUCAUGACCGAAGGUGGAGGGAUGAAAUGGUGAGAAGGUGGGGUAAGAGCCCACCAGCGGCAUGGUGACAUGUCGGCUGUGCAUCUUGGGAGUUGCAAGUUCAUGUAAACCACCCGACCGAGGGUAGCCCGCCCGAGUUGACGAAGGUCCGGGCAGCAAUGCCGGCAGGGCCGGGGCUCAUGCGGUGGAGGGUAGAACGCUUGAGCCAUGGGGCGACUCAUGGAGUAGAUAAAUGACAGACACGCGCAUGGAUGCACGAAGUAUGGACGUGCGAUGUACGGAUGUACGGAGGCAUGAUGCGCGUACAGAACCCGGCUUAUAGCCCGGCUGCUUUC
RNAcentral lists this RNase P RNA (523 nucleotides) under Bacteroidaceae bacterium. Its description in RNAcentral is "RNase P RNA component class A". It matches the Rfam family "Bacterial RNase P class A". From Rfam's summary of the family: Ribonuclease P (RNase P) is a ubiquitous endoribonuclease, found in archaea, bacteria and eukarya as well as chloroplasts and mitochondria. Its best characterised activity is the generation of mature 5'-ends of tRNAs by cleaving the 5'-leader elements of precursor-tRNAs. The record is from RNAcentral. Lineage: Bacteria; Pseudomonadati; Bacteroidota; Bacteroidia; Bacteroidales; Bacteroidaceae.